UGUUGCCUCGGUCAAAAUUUUCAAGCUUAGUAUAUAUGUAAGUUGGGAAUGCUAAUAUAAACACUCUCCAUCCAACUUGAGGGAGAUCAAGUUUUAGAGUUAAUACAUUUUAUUUGUGUUUUAAUGUUUAGUAACAAGUUAAAUGAGACAGUUGGGAAAAUUAGUUUCAAUGUACUUCGUAUUUAUAUAAGUAGAGCAUCUCAUAUGAGCAAUGUGUGAGAACGAAACUCCUAUGAGGUGUGAAUGACAUGUUUGAACACAAAAAAAAAUGAUUGGUAGAAAGCACGACGUAUGAUAGUCUGAUGACCAGGACGGUGGAUAUCAAUUUCCUUCAGUUAAGAAUAUGAGCGCUAGCGGCGAGUCUGAGGAGGAAAUGGCGUCGCCGUCAAGCCAGGAAAAAGGAUCCUUUUGUGAGAAGCACGAAAAAAGUUAAAAUGAAUGAGCUAGAAGAUGGCACCUCAGACACCUUAUAAGGAUAAGCUACUUAACCAUGAGGGUUCCAUAGAGAAGGAUGGGGUUGUGUCAGACGAGCUGGGUAAGGAGGCUAAGGAUGAUAAUAGUAGGUCUCUCUGAUGAAGAGUGGCAAGCAUGGUCCCAACCAUGGCUUAAGACAUUGUGGUGAAAGUCUUGGGUACUUGGGUUCACUUUAAGACACAGGACUCGAAUGGGUCUAUCAAAAUCAUAGACAUGUUACCUUGUGCAGUUUCUACGGAGGAGGACUACAAGCAUGCUAUCUAUGAAGGUCCAUGCAUGGAUUGUAGCGGACCAUUAUAUCAUUGUUCAGAGGUGGCGUCCCUUCUUCCUUAUAAAUGCUGAGAAGGUCAAUAAAGUGGUUUGUGGAUCAGAAUCCCUAGGUUACCUAUUGAACUCUGCAAUGAUAGGUUCUUGGGGAGGAUUGGUUCAACAUUCGGGACCUUACUAAAAAUUGACUAAUUGAACUUAA
Long non-coding RNA from Glycine soja, 943 nucleotides. RefSeq lists it as uncharacterized. NCBI's taxonomy places the organism in Eukaryota, Viridiplantae, Streptophyta, Magnoliopsida, Fabales, Fabaceae. The transcript is spliced from 2 exons. The record is from RefSeq and is a predicted model, not a curated record.